AACGAACGCUGGCGGCGCGCCUAAUACAUGCAAGUCGAGCGAGAAGACGUAGCAAUACGUUUGUAAAGCGGCGAACGGGUGAGGAAUACAUGGGUAACCUACCCUCGAGUGGGGAAUAACUAGCCGAAAGGUUAGCUAAUACCGCGUACGCUCCUUGGACUUCGGUUCAGGGAGGAAAGCGAUACCGUGGGUAUCGCGCUCUUGGAUGGGCUCAUGUCCUAUCAGCUUGUUGGUGAGGUAACGGCGUCACCAAGGCUUCGACGGGUAGCUGGUCUGAGAGGACGAUCAGCCACACUGGCACUGCGACACGGGCCAGACUCCUACGGGAGGCAGCAGUAAGGAAUAUUGCGCAAUGGGCGAAAGCC
Molecule: ribosomal RNA, 365 nt
Filed under: uncultured bacterium
Lineage: Bacteria
Description: bacterial SSU rRNA
Rfam family: Bacterial small subunit ribosomal RNA
Source: RNAcentral